Molecule: long non-coding RNA, 687 nt
Organism: Nyctereutes procyonoides (raccoon dog)
Lineage: Eukaryota; Metazoa; Chordata; Mammalia; Carnivora; Canidae
Exons: 3
Source: RefSeq, a predicted model, not a curated record
AGAGAGAAAGAGAGAGGCAGAGACAUAGGCAGAGGGAGAAGCAGGCUCCAUGCAGGGAGCCUGAUGUGGGACUUGAUCCCAGGUCUCCAGGAUCACGCCCUGGGCCGAAGGUCCUGGAGUUGGAAGUCUUGGAAGGAAGGUGAAGUUGUGGAUGUGAUAAUAACAUGGAUUACGACUUUCUUGAGGAUCCCUUCAAUCUGCAUUUCAGAAGAUGGGAAGCGGAGUCCACUAAAGUGCUCCCCACAGAAUGGGGUUCCCAGAGCAACGCUGUAGGACGUCAUUCCCCCAAAUCCUGCCCCAACUGCGGCAAUGACCAAAUGGGUUUUGCUGCUUUAAAACACUGUUAGUGUUUUGUUACACAGCCUUGAAUCGCUAGAACAAGGGACAAUCAUGUCGCUGUCAGGAUGUUGGUGUGCAGUGAACACAGUGGGAAGAAAAUACAUGGGGAUGUUGUGUGCUUGAAGAUUUAAAAAAAAACAUGUUUUCAGAGGUGAUGGGAAAGAUGUGAUUUUAUAUCUGAAGUUAACUGUAGACAUAUUCUAAACCAUGUUUUAUCUCUGAGAAAAUUGAUUAUGAGGGAGGUGAAGAAGCUAGCUCUAUGUCAGCAGGUUACAUUGUGCCACAAUUGCUGCUUUCUGAAUUCCUGAAAAUGUUCAAUAUGGAGGAAGAUGAGAAUUAAAGUCUCUU